UCGUUGCUUCGGCGGGUGGCGGGCUUCGGCCCUGCCCUCGGCCCCUCUCGGGGGCCCGCCGGAGGUACACCAAACUCUUGAAUUUACAUGGCCUCUCUGAGUCUUCUGUACUGAAUAAGUCAAAACUUUCAACAACGGAUCUCUUGGUUCUGGCAUCGAUGAAGAACGCAGCGAAAUGCGAUAAGUAAUGUGAAUUGCAGAAUUCAGUGAAUCAUCGAAUCUUUGAACGCACAUUGCGCCCGCCAGUAUUCUGGCGGGCAUGCCUGUCCGAGCGUCAUUUCAACCAUCAAGCCCCCGGCUUGUGUUGGGGACCUGCGGCACACCCGCAGGCCCUGAAAACCAGUGGCGGGCUCGCUGUCCACACCGAGCGUAGUAGCAUAUCUUUGUCUCGCUCAGGGCGUGCGGCGGGUUCCGGCCGUGAAACCCACCUUCUCGAAGGUACCCAAAGGUUGACCUCGGAUCAGGUAGGAAGACCCGCUGAACUUAAGCAUAUCAAA
RNAcentral lists this ribosomal RNA (497 nucleotides) under Chaetomium sp. ca_sqma_25_2a. RNAcentral describes it as "eukaryotic LSU rRNA". The stretch from base 124 to 277 matches the Rfam family "5.8S ribosomal RNA". The record is from RNAcentral. Lineage: Eukaryota; Fungi; Ascomycota; Sordariomycetes; Sordariales; Chaetomiaceae.